Molecule: ribosomal RNA, 2504 nt
Filed under: Listeria monocytogenes
Lineage: Bacteria; Bacillati; Bacillota; Bacilli; Caryophanales; Listeriaceae
Description: partial 23S ribosomal RNA
Rfam family: Bacterial large subunit ribosomal RNA
Source: RNAcentral
GACGGUAACAGCCCGGUAGUUGAAAUGGCUUUCCCUCCAGAGUGGAUCCUGAGUACGGCGGAACACGUGAAAUUCCGUCGGAAUCCGGGAGGACCAUCUCCCAAGGCUAAAUACUCCCUAGUGACCGAUAGUGAACCAGUACCGUGAGGGAAAGGUGAAAAGCACCCCGGAAGGGGAGUGAAACAGUUCCUGAAACCGUGUGCCUACAAGUAGUUAGAGCCCGUUAAUGGGUGAUAGCGUGCCUUUUGUAGAAUGAACCGGCGAGUUACGAUUUGUUGCAAGGUUAAGCGGAAAAAGCGGAGCCGUAGCGAAAGCGAGUCUGAAUAGGGCGCAUAAGUAACAGGUCGUAGACCCGAAACCAGGUGAUCUACCCAUGUCCAGGAUGAAGGUAAGGUAAUACUUACUGGAGGUCCGAACCCACGCACGUUGAAAAGUGCGGGGAUGAGGUGUGGGUAGCGGAGAAAUUCCAAUCGAACUUGGAGAUAGCUGGUUCUCUCCGAAAUAGCUUUAGGGCUAGCCUCGAGGUAAAGAGUCAUGGAGGUAGAGCACUGUUUGGACUAGGGGCCCUUCUCGGGUUACCGAAUUCAGAUAAACUCCGAAUGCCAUGUACUUAUACUCGGGAGUCAGACUGCGAGUGAUAAGAUCCGUAGUCGAAAGGGAAACAGCCCAGACCACCAGUUAAGGUCCCCAAAUAUAUGUUAAGUGGAAAAGGAUGUGGGGUUGCUUAGACAACCAGGAUGUUGGCUUAGAAGCAGCCACCAUUGAAAGAGUGCGUAAUAGCUCACUGGUCGAGUGACCCCGCGCCGAAAAUGUACCGGGGCUAAACAUAUUACCGAAACUGUGGAUGAACCUCUUUAGAGGUUCGUGGUAGGAGAGCGUUCUAAGGGCGGUGAAGUCAGACCGGAAGGACUGGUGGAGCGCUUAGAAGUGAGAAUGCCGGUAUGAGUAGCGAAAGAAGGGUGAGAAUCCCUUCCACCGAAUAUCUAAGGUUUCCUGAGGAAGGCUCGUCCGCUCAGGGUUAGUCGGGACCUAAGCCGAGGCCGAUAGGCGUAGGCGAUGGACAACAGGUAGAGAUUCCUGUACCAGUGCUAAUUGUUUAACCGAUGGGGUGACACAGAAGGAUAGGGAAUCGCACGAAUGGAAAUGUGCGUCCAAGCAGUGAGUGUGAGAAGUAGGCAAAUCCGCUUCUCGCGAAGCAUGAGCUGUGAUGGGGAAGGAAAUUAAGUACGGAAGUUCCUGAUUUCACGCUGUCAAGAAAAGCCUCUAGGAAGAGUAGUACUGCCCGUACCGCAAACCGACACAGGUAGAUGAGGAGAGAAUCCUAAGGUGAGCGAGAGAACUCUCGUUAAGGAACUCGGCAAAAUGACCCCGUAACUUCGGGAGAAGGGGUGCUCUAUUAGGGUGCAAGCCCGAGAGAGCCGCAGUGAAUAGGCCCAGGCGACUGUUUAGCAAAAACACAGGUCUCUGCAAAACCGUAAGGUGACGUAUAGGGGCUGACGCCUGCCCGGUGCUGGAAGGUUAAGAGGAGUGCUUAGCUUCGGCGAAGGUACGAAUUGAAGCCCCAGUAAACGGCGGCCGUAACUAUAACGGUCCUAAGGUAGCGAAAUUCCUUGUCGGGUAAGUUCCGACCCGCACGAAAGGCGCAACGAUCUGGGCACUGUCUCAACGAGAGACUCGGUGAAAUUAUAGUACCUGUGAAGAUGCAGGUUACCCGCGACAGGACGGAAAGACCCCGUGGAGCUUUACUGCAACCUGAUAUGGAAUGUUUGUACCGCUUGUACAGGAUAGGUAGGAGCCGAAGAGACGUGUGCGCUAGCAUACGAGGAGGCAAUGGUGGGAUACUACCCUGGCUGUAUGACCAUUCUAACCCGCCACGCUUAGCGCGUGGGGAGACAGUGUCAGGUGGGCAGUUUGACUGGGGCGGUCGCCUCCUAAAGAGUAACGGAGGCGCCCAAAGGUUCCCUCAGAAUGGAUGGAAAUCAUUCGCAGAGUGUAAAGGCACAAGGGAGCUUGACUGCGAGACUGACAAGUCGAGCAGGGACGAAAGUCGGGCUUAGUGAUCCGGUGGUUCCGCAUGGAAGGGCCAUCGCUCAACGGAUAAAAGCUACCCCGGGGAUAACAGGCUUAUCUCCCCCAAGAGUCCACAUCGACGGGGAGGUUUGGCACCUCGAUGUCGGCUCGUCGCAUCCUGGGGCUGUAGUCGGUCCCAAGGGUUGGGCUGUUCGCCCAUUAAAGCGGCACGCGAGCUGGGUUCAGAACGUCGUGAGACAGUUCGGUCCCUAUCCGUCGCGGGCGCAGGAAAUUUGAGAGGAGCUGUCCUUAGUACGAGAGGACCGGGAUGGACACACCGCUGGUGUACCAGUUGUUCCGCCAGGAGCAUCGCUGGGUAGCUAUGUGUGGCAGGGAUAAACGCUGAAAGCAUCUAAGCGUGAAGCCCCCCUCAAGAUGAGAUUUCCCAUUUCUUCGGAAAGUAAGAUCCCUGAAAGAUGAUCAGGUAGAUAGGU